Molecule: long non-coding RNA, 634 nt
Organism: Brassica rapa (field mustard)
Lineage: Eukaryota; Viridiplantae; Streptophyta; Magnoliopsida; Brassicales; Brassicaceae
Source: RefSeq, a predicted model, not a curated record
GACUGAUCUCUCAAGAGUUACUCUCCGACGGUUCUCUCUAACGGGUGCUCACGAUUUCCUGAGAUGGGCCAGCGAUGUUCGAGUGACCGGGAAUCUUCGUUGGUAGAGUUUUACGUCCGAAGAGGAAGCUUUGGUCUUCAUGCGAGACGCAUGCUUGCCACAUCCAUGGAGACGUUCCAUCUCCAUCGAUGACCGUUCGAUCGGAUUCAUCUCAGUCUUCCCUGAAACUGGCGAUGAUAGUGUAUAUUUGAAGAUUCAAAGCGCAUAUUGGGUAUGGAUUAUCUCAUGAGUAUUGGGGAAAGGGAAUAGCAACAAGAGCAGUGUCAAUUGCAGUACCGCAAGUGUUUAAUGACUUGCCUCGUGUUUUGAGGCUUCAAGCUUUUGUGCAAACUCAAAACAAAGCAUCCCAAAGAGUUCUCGAGAAGGUUGGGUUUCAGAGAGAAGGUUUGCUAAGAAAGUACAGUUAUGUCAAAGGUGAAAUCCAUGAUGUGUUUGUUUAUAGUCUCUUGUCCCCUGAUCUACUUCCUCUUCCAUAAUCCUCAAGUAUUAUGGAUUGAGAUUAUAUGUAGUCGUUAUAAAACUAAUAAUGUUGUAAUUCAAUAUAUAUUUGAAAAAACGAAUAUGGUUUGAGUGA